UUCCAGACUCCUACGGGAGGCAGCAGUGGGGAAUAUUGCACAAUGGGCGCAAGCCUGAUGCAGCCAUGCCGCGUGUAUGAAGAAGGCCUUCGGGUUGUAAAGUACUUUCAGCGGGGAGGAAGGCGAUAAGGUUAAUAACCUUGUUGAUUGACGUUACCCGCAGAAGAAGCACCGGCUAACUACGUGCCAGCAGCCGCGGUAAUACGUAGGGUGCGAGCGUUAAUCGGAAUUACUGGGCGUAAAGGGUGUGCAGGCGGCUGAGUAAGACAGAUGUGAAAUCCCCGGGCUCAACCUGGGAACUGCAUUCGAAACUGGCAGGCUGGAGUCUUGUAGAGGGGGGUAGAAUUCCAGGUGUAGCGGUGAAAUGCGUAGAGAUCUGGAGGAAUACCGGUGGCGAAGGCGGCCCCCUGGACAAAGACUGACGCUCAGGUGCGAAAGCGUGGGGAGCAAACAGGAUUAGAUACCCCCGUAC
This 472-nucleotide ribosomal RNA is filed under the name uncultured bacterium. RNAcentral describes it as "bacterial SSU rRNA". It matches the Rfam family "Bacterial small subunit ribosomal RNA", at positions 329 to 793 of the family's 1533-position model. The record is from RNAcentral.